This 2714-nucleotide unclassified non-coding RNA is filed under the name Hevea brasiliensis (rubber tree). The record is from RNAcentral. Lineage: Eukaryota; Viridiplantae; Streptophyta; Magnoliopsida; Malpighiales; Euphorbiaceae.
GUCUGGUUGCACAUGGAUCUCGGCUGGAAAGACGCUUGUAUUCUGUAAUCGGAAUUAAUUCUGCACUUCUUUCUGAUUCCACUGAAUCUAAAUAAAAGCAGAUCUUUUUAUUAUUUAAUUUUGCUCUCUAUCGACACAGUGAAAGAGGAAGAGACGCAACCUUCUUCCUCCCUGGUAAGCUCAUUCUUCUGAUUCUCUCACUUUCCGUCUCUUCUUCUGAAUUUGAAUUCGGAGGUGGGUAUUUGGUCUUUUCAAGUUUCUACAAACGGAUACCCCAAAUCCCCAUCCAAAUCUCCAGUUUCUUAUGGAUUAAUUUCAGUAUUUCUGUGAAUCUAUCUGCUGUGGAGAUACAAAUAUUAUCUGCUGUGUAGAUGUGAAUAUGCCCUCCAGAUAAUUGGAUGAUCAAAAACAGGGGAUUUCGUAAAAUUGUCCCACGUUUGCGUGCUUGUCUAUCUAUCUUUCACUGAUAGAUUUGAGAAAUUUAGAUUGGUAAAACUUUAUCAUUAUCCGCCAGUUAUAGCAAACCUGCAGUGUGGAAUUACUCAAUUACAUGUUUUAUGGCAUUUUUGCUGAUCGGUGAAGAUGGCAGAAGUUAAUCAAUGAAGGCGUGUUUGGUUGCUUGAUAGUAUUUGAAGUAAUGGGAAAUUGUUUGUCCUUGGUUUCUUGUGAAUUCUUGUGGGGUUAUGGGGUAUAAUGUAGAAAAGUACAAUAAACGAGAAACCUUUGGUUUCUUUUGCUUUAUUAUUUUAUUGUAUGCUUGGCUGCUCUAAGAAAUUUACUUUUUAUGAGCUUAAUGAAAAGGUGCCAGAGAGUGUAUGUAUACUGUCUUUUAGCAUAAGCUGCUGAGCAAGUUAUCUAUGAUGUGACAACAAGACUUCCUUAAAUCCGAAGAACAAGCCCAUCAAAGUUUCUAGGAGACAUAUUAUCUGGUCUAUCAUAUUCAGUUUAAGUGAUGUUCUAACUAGAGAAUAGAAUCAUAGUUUGGUCAUUUUGGUAUUUUGUCAAUUCACUGUUUGAAACUGUUUAAUCAUUGCAGGUUUAAGUCCAUUAGUGGUUUGCUGGCACUGUUCAAUGUUUUAACAUGCGUAGUGUACUUAAACAAGUAACCCUUUUCUAAGUCAAAUUGUUUGGCAUUCAGCAUGUUGGGUUUUGCUUCAAAAGCGAUUAAUGAUUCCUUAAGGUUGAAGAAUGAUCUUUCAAAGUGGAGUCAAGCUUAUUCAGAAUGCUCAGAUGAUGAAUUAUCAUUAAACAACGGCAGAGAAGAGGGACUGGAAUGCCCUAUAUGCUGGGAAUCUUUUAACAUUGUUGAAAAUGUGCCGUAUGUUUUGUGGUGUGGCCACACCCUCUGUAAGAAUUGUGUGCUAGGGCUGCAAAGGGCUAUGGUGAAACUUCCUACCCUCCCGAUCCAGCUUCCAUUCUUCAUUUCUUGUCCUUGGUGUAAUCUAUUAUCUUUCAGAUUGGUCCACAAAGGACACCUCAGGUUUCCUCGGAAGAACUACUUUCUACUCUGGAUGGUUGAAAGCAUGAAUGGUGAUAGGCCAAAGUCAUAUUUCUCCUUUCGUGGGGAUCAUCAGCCUGUUUCUUCUUCAAAAAGAAAUCAAGCCAUGGGCAAUCAAGUUACCCAUAUGAGCAACAGGCGAGCCUCAUAUCCUUGUCCUCCAGAACAAGCAGCAUCUAACCAUGACGAAGGUCGCCUUAACAUUAGAUACUUCAAUGCUGAGAGACUUCAGUUAUCCUUUCGCAAGUCGUUGGUUUUCUUUGUUCACUUGACAGCUAAGUUUCCAUUGAUUGUCAUAUUUCUUCUGAUUGUUUUGUAUGCAAUACCGGCCAGUGCAGCCAUCUUGUCACUCUACAUCCUUAUCACCUUUGUAUUUGCUCUCCCUUCUUUUCUUAUCUUGUACUUUGCCUUACCCAGUCUGGAUUGGUUGGUUAGAGAAAUCAUCACUUGAGUUACCAUUCUCCUACAUGCCCGAUGUCACAAAUGGGUGGCAUUUCUCUUAUUGCCAGUCCAGUUACAUAGUGCAAUUUGACGACUUUACCUCUAUUAGAUGCUGACCAGCUUCGUGGUUUUACAAACCAUGGAGCUCAACUUGAAGUUCUUCAAUCAAAUCACCUCCUUAUCAAACAUAUUUUAGCAUGCGGCAAAUAAGUUGAUUUCAGAUGUUACAUUGGUCUUGAGAACGCUGUUCUUUUGUAAUUCCAAAAUUUUGGGGAGCAAUCAAUGAUCUGUAGUAGAAAUAUAAUGAAGACGUACGGGUAUUAUUCUGCUGCAGUGUACAUUUAGGCGCCAGAAAGCUCUUGCAAGAAGACUAAUAUGUAGAAGAUUGUCCCUGUUUUGUGUGUCGAGGGUAAUGACCUUUUCAGUACUUUGCUACUAUAUUUUGGAUCUUUGAUGGACUGUACAUUGAAUGCUCCUAUUUUGCCUUUUUGGUUAUGGUAUGCAAGUGAAACUAUGCAAUUCCUUUUCCAUAGACGUCCUUUUGUAUUGGUGAGAGAUUGUAUGUGCACAUUUCAUGAAGCGUCAUUUUAAAACACAUGGAUGUUUGUUUAGCUACAAGUAUUAUUUUUAUUAGCCCUUGUGUUUUAAGAAAUUGCUGGCCUUCCAUGAGAUCUCUAAUUAAUGCUAGGUUUAUACUGUGAAACUUGAAAGCUUGUGGAAAGAACUUUAUGGUUGGAGGGUCACUCUCUUUGUAGUUUAUGUGACUUGUAGACCA